UAAGGGUAUGGAAAUGAAAUGAUCAAUGUUGUAAUAAUUAUAUUGGAAACUUGAUUGUAUUUGGAAGCUAAAAAGAGACUUAAAGAAUGUAAAUGAAAAGAGUAAUAUGUGAUGUAGAAUGAAUUAAGUGAGUUGAAUGCAUGUAAUAAUUUAGUUGUUUAUGUUUUCGAUACCUUUCUUAUGCAACCUUUGAUUGAAUACUGUUCCUAGUUGGAACUUCGCGUAUUGUAUGAUUGUGACGCCUUGAACGUACAGGAAAGACUCUGUCUGCGGUACAAGGGAAACUCUGUCCGUUCGGCGGUCGGCGGUCUGUUGGCGUGCCCGAAUC
This 328-nucleotide long non-coding RNA is filed under the name Ananas comosus (pineapple). RNAcentral's name for it is "long non-coding RNA (ACOM_LNC028218)". Lineage: Eukaryota; Viridiplantae; Streptophyta; Magnoliopsida; Poales; Bromeliaceae. The record is from RNAcentral.